ACCUGGGUGGCUCAGUCGGUUAAGCGUCCGACUUCGGCUCAGGUCAUGAUCUCGUGGUUUGUGAGUUCGAGCCUCACUUCAGGCU
Molecule: transfer RNA, 85 nt
Filed under: Felis catus (domestic cat)
Lineage: Eukaryota; Metazoa; Chordata; Mammalia; Carnivora; Felidae
Rfam family: tRNA
About the family: Transfer RNA (tRNA) molecules are approximately 80 nucleotides in length. Their secondary structure includes four short double-helical elements and three loops (D, anti-codon, and T loops).
Source: Rfam by way of RNAcentral